GCAGCCCUCGAGCGGCCCGGACCGUCCGCUGCCUCCCGCAGCCGCGCGCCCGCCCUGGGCCCAGCCUCCAGCCCGCGAGCGAAAACCUGCCUGUUGCUUUGUCUUCUUCCUUCACAGUUUUCCCACCCUGAGAAAAGUGAGAGGUGCUUUCCCUGGUGUUUCCUCUCAGGAAGGGCCGUGUGACUGGAGCCGCGAGUUGGGCGCCGUCUCGCCGGGGCUGGAGGUACGCGGGCUUCGGGACACGCACCUAGGCGUCCCUCGGGGUCCCGGCCUCUCUGACCGGGCUCCCCCGGCACCGAUCCGCGGCCGGAGCGUUUAGUCCCGGGGACCCGUCGAGCCCUGAAAGGGCCAUUUCCCCCUGAGGCGAGUCCCCCCAGGCGCCCCGCAGCCUGGCCUCGGGACUGCCCCCACCGACAGUGCGUGCGCGGGGAGAGGUCACUUAAAACUGCAUUUUCGAACAUUAGUGCCCCGGACCCGCACCUUUUUUCCUCCGUCCUUUGAUCUGUGCCGCAGAGGCAAGGGCUGGAACGGCGCCCUCCCCUGGUAGAGGGACGGAGAGACCGCAAAUCUUUCCCCCUGGGAGGUCCGUUAAGUAGAUCCAAGCACCUGGAGGCGGAACCUGUGUGGCCGGCUACAGGGUGGUCCUGUGUAUGUGUUACCGCCUUAUUGUUCCAAAGAACAGUCUUUUUCAAGUGACAGGUAGAAGACGCCCCAAUAACGAGAAGUGACUGACUUGGCCAAGCUUAGAGAUGGGAGUGGAGUCAGGUUCCCUGGUGGCCCCACGAUCUCGCCCACCAUGUCAGCAUGGGCUGCCCGGUGAGCAUAGCUGAGAUGCACCAAGGCCACAUAAGUCACCUACUUUGCCUUGGCUGCCCCAUCUGCAUCUAUCAAAGGAAGCCUUGGACACCCACCAGAGGAGCCAGCAUGAGGGAGUGUAUGCCUUUAUACAAAUUCACUCCAACUUCAGAAAAACGUCCGCAGCUCAUGCUCCCCCUGCCAGAGCAGCAGUGUGAGCAGCUGUGUAGGUUUGGAAGCACCCCAGUCACUUGGGCAUUGAUAUGGUUUGGCUGUAUCCCCACCCAAAUCUCAUCUUGAAUUGUAAGUCCCGCAGUUCCCAGGUGUGUGGGAGGAACCUUGUGGGAGGUGAUUGAAUUAUGGGGGCGGGUCUUUCCUGGGCUGUUCUCGUCAUAGUGAAUGAGUCUCACGAGAUCUGAAGAUUUUAAAAAUGGGAGCGCUUGUUGCACAAGCUCUCUCUUGGCCUACUGCCAUCCGCUUAAGAUGUGACAUGCUCCUCCUUGCUUUACGCCAUGAUUGUGAGGCCUCCCAACCAUGUGGAACUGCAAGUCCAAUAAACCUCUUUCAUUUGUAAACUGCCCAGUCUCCGGUGUGUCUUUAUCAGCAGUGUGAAAAUGGACGAAUACAGGCAUAUUUCUCGUUUGUGAUCUCCCUUUACCCUUGCGUACAUACCCUACAGAGACAGUCCCAGUGUGCCUAUUCCCAGUCAACUCCUGCCUUCCUUGACGGUUUUGUUGGCAAAGCAUCAAAAGUAAGACCCAGUACAAAAUGUAGUUGCUACCCUGAGGCUUGACCACUGGCCUACUGGCCUUUACCUGGGAAAUUAACCAACUCAUAAACAAACAAAAAAAAGUAAUCAUAUAGGAGGCAGGGUGGACAUAGAUUUACUUGAUAUUUCUAGUUAAGGGACUUGGGCAUAGACAUCUAUAAUCUGAGC
This 1732-nucleotide long non-coding RNA is filed under the name Homo sapiens (human). Its description in RNAcentral is "non-protein coding lnc-SH2D4A-6:1". The record is from RNAcentral. Lineage: Eukaryota; Metazoa; Chordata; Mammalia; Primates; Hominidae.